CGCCCUUGUGCCAAGCAGCCGCGGUAAUUCCAGCUCCAAUAGCGUAUAUUAAAGUUGUUGCGGUAAAAAAGCUCGUAGUUGGAUUUCUGUUGAAGACGUCCGGUCCAUACCACGUAUGCGCAUCUGGCUCGGCUUCGGCAUCCUCUCGAAAGACGUUUCUGCGCUUGAUUGCGUGGAGCGGAUCUCGGGACUUUUACUUUGAGGAAAUUAGAGUGUUCACGGCAGGCUAUCGCCAGAAUACAUUAGCAUGGAAUAAUACUAUAGGAUCUCGGUUCUAUUUUGUUGGUUUCUAGAAUUGAGAUAAUGAUUAAUAGGGACAAUUGGGGGCAUUCGUAUCAACACGUUAGAGGUGAAAUUCUUGGAUCGUGUUGCGACGAACUACUGCGAAAGCAUUUGCCAAGGAUGUUUUCAUUGAUCAAGAACGAAAGUAAGGGGAUCGAAGACGAUUAGAUACCGUCGUAGUCUUUACCAUAAACUAUGCCAACUAGAGAUGGGACAUCGUUCACUUAAGACUUGUUCCGCACCUUAUGAGAUAUCAAAGUCUUUGGGUUCCGGGGGGAGUAUGGUCGCAAGUCUGAAACUUAAAGGAAUUGACGGAAGGGCACCACCAGGAGUGGAGCCUGCGGCUUAAUUUGACUCAACACGGGGAAACUCACCAGGUCCAGACAUAAUAAGGAUUGACAGAUUGAUAGCUCUUUCUUGAUUUUAUGGGUGGUGGUGCAUGGCCGUUCUUAGUUCGUGGAGUGAUUUGUCUGCUUAAUUGCGUUAACGAACGAGACCUUAACCUGCUAAAUAGGAGCGCCUAUCUCCGGAUAAGCGCCUUUCUUCUUAGAGGGACUUUAUGCGUUUCAGCAUGAGGAAGUUUGAGGCUAAAACAGGUCUGUGAUGCCCAAGGGCGA
Molecule: ribosomal RNA, 899 nt
Filed under: uncultured eukaryote
Lineage: Eukaryota
Description: SSU rRNA
Rfam family: Eukaryotic small subunit ribosomal RNA
Source: RNAcentral